UACGUAGGGUGCAAGCGUUGUCCGGAAUUAUUGGGCGUAAAGAGCUCGUAGGCGGUCUGUCGCGUCGGCUGUGAAAACUCGGGGCUCAACCCCGAGCCUGCAGUCGAUACGGGCAGACUAGAGUGCUGUAGGGGAGACUGGAAUUCCUGGUGCAGCGGUGAAAUGCGCAGAUAUCAGGAGGAACACCGGUGGCGAAGGCGGGUCUCUGGGCAGUAACUGACGCUGAGGAGCGAAAGCGUGGGGAGCGAACAGG
RNAcentral lists this ribosomal RNA (253 nucleotides) under uncultured bacterium. RNAcentral's name for it is "partial 16S ribosomal RNA". It matches the Rfam family "Bacterial small subunit ribosomal RNA", at positions 524 to 776 of the family's 1533-position model. The record is from RNAcentral.